UGCCCAAGAGAUCGGGAUAACACCUGGAAACAGAUGCUAAUACCGGAUAACAACAGAUGAUGCCUAUCAACUGUUUAAAAGAUGGUUCUGCUAUCACUCUUGGAUGGACCUGCGGUGCAUUAGCUAGUUGGUAGGGUAACGGCCUACCAAGGCGAUGAUGCAUAGCCGAGUUGAGAGACUGAUCAGCCACAUUGGGACUGAGACACGGCCCAAACUCCUACGGGAGGCAGCAGCG
Molecule: ribosomal RNA, 235 nt
Filed under: uncultured Lactobacillus sp.
Lineage: Bacteria; Bacillati; Bacillota; Bacilli; Lactobacillales; Lactobacillaceae
Description: partial 16S ribosomal RNA
Rfam family: Bacterial small subunit ribosomal RNA
Source: RNAcentral